This 275-nucleotide ribosomal RNA is filed under the name uncultured bacterium. RNAcentral describes it as "partial 16S ribosomal RNA". It matches the Rfam family "Bacterial small subunit ribosomal RNA", at positions 334 to 628 of the family's 1533-position model. The record is from RNAcentral.
GACCUACGGGGGGCAGCAGUGGGGCAUAUUGCACAAUGGGGGAAACCCUGAUGCAGCGACGCCGCGUGAGUGAGGAAGUAUUUCGGUAUGUAAAGCUCUAUCAGCAGGGAAGAAAAUGACGGUACCUGACUAAGAAGCCCCGGCUAACUACGUGCCAGCAGCCGCGGUAAUACGUAGGGGGCAAGCGUUAUCCGGAUUUACUGGGUGUAAAGGGAGCGUAGACGGCUAAUCAAGUCAGAAGUGAAAACCCAGGGCUCAACUUUGGGACUGCUUUU